AUACGGAGGGAGCAAGCGUUAUUCGGAAUCACUGGGCGUAAAGGACGCGUAGGCGGGUUUGUAAGUCAGGUGUGAAAUCCUACAGCUCAACUGUAGAACUGCACUUGAAACUACAGACCUAGAGUAUGGAAGGGGCAGAUGGGAUUAGUGGUGUAGGGGUAAAAUCCGUAGAUAUCACUAGGAAUACCGAAAGCGAAGGCGAUCUGCUGGGACAUUACUGACGCUGAGGCGUGAAAGCGUGGGGAGCAAACAGGAUUAGAAACCCCGGUAGUCC
RNAcentral lists this ribosomal RNA (274 nucleotides) under uncultured bacterium. RNAcentral's name for it is "partial 16S ribosomal RNA". It matches the Rfam family "Bacterial small subunit ribosomal RNA", at positions 523 to 796 of the family's 1533-position model. The record is from RNAcentral.